AUCCUUUUCGGGUUCAUUUGUGAUGAUUGGGUUCUCACGUGCUUGUGUGACAUGUGCCUCCCUCUAAACCUUGUUACAAUGUGGUCACAUUACCUGUCUGAUG
This is a small nucleolar RNA of Perognathus longimembris pacificus (Pacific pocket mouse), 103 nucleotides long. RefSeq annotates it as small nucleolar RNA U13. The record is from RefSeq and is a predicted model, not a curated record. NCBI's taxonomy places the organism in Eukaryota, Metazoa, Chordata, Mammalia, Rodentia, Heteromyidae. The transcript has a single exon.